UGCAGUCGAGCGGAACGACACUAACAAUCCUUCGGGUGCGUUAAUGGGCGUCCAGCGGCGGACGGGUGAGUAAUGCCUACGAAAUUGCCUUGAUGUGGGGGAUAACCAUUGGAAACGAUGGCUAAUACCGCAUAAUGCCUACGGGCCAAAGAGGGGGAUCUUCGGACCUCUCGCGUCAAGAUGUGCCUAGGUGGGAUUAGCUAGUUGGUGAGGUAAUGGCUCACCAAGGCGACGAUCCCUAGCUGGUCUGAGAGGAUGAUCAGCCUCACUGGAACUGAGACACGGUCCAGACUCCUACGGGAGGCAACAUUGGGGAAUAUUGCACAAUGGGCGAAAGCCUGAUGCAGCCAUGCCGCGUGUAUGAAGAAGGCCUUCGGGUUGUAAAGUACUUUCAGUUGUGAGGAAGGGGGUGUCGUUAAUAGCGGCAUCUCUUGACGUUAACAACACAAGAAGCACCGGGUAACUCCGUGCCAGCAGCCGCGGUAAUACGGAGGGUGCGAGCGUUAAUCGGAAUUACUGGGCGUAAAGCGCAUGCAGGUGGUUCAUUAAAUCAGAUGUGAAAGCCCGGGGCUCAUCCUCUGAACUGCGUUUGAAACUGGUGAACUAGAGUACUGUAGAGGGGGGUAGAAUUUCAGGUGUAGCGGUGAAAUGCGUAGAGAUCUGAAGGAAUACCGGUGGCGAAUGCGGCCCCCUGGACAGAUACUGACACUCACAUGCGAAAGCGUGGGGAGCAAACACGAUUAGAUACCCUGGCUAGUCCAC
RNAcentral lists this ribosomal RNA (762 nucleotides) under Vibrio sp. AD103. RNAcentral describes it as "bacterial SSU rRNA". It matches the Rfam family "Bacterial small subunit ribosomal RNA", at positions 56 to 798 of the family's 1533-position model. Lineage: Bacteria; Pseudomonadati; Pseudomonadota; Gammaproteobacteria; Vibrionales; Vibrionaceae. The record is from RNAcentral.